RNAcentral lists this small RNA (619 nucleotides) under Phlegmacium coalescens. Its description in RNAcentral is "eukaryotic LSU rRNA". It matches the Rfam family "Eukaryotic large subunit ribosomal RNA", at positions 52 to 655 of the family's 3401-position model. The record is from RNAcentral. Lineage: Eukaryota; Fungi; Basidiomycota; Agaricomycetes; Agaricales; Cortinariaceae.
GGAGGAAAAGAAACUAACAAGGAUUCCCCUAGUAACUGCGAGUGAAGCGGGAAAAGCUCAAAUUUAAAAUCUGUCAGUCUUUGACUGUCCGAGUUGUAAUCUAGAGAAGUGUUAUCCGCGCUGGACCGUGUACAAGUCUCCUGGAAUGGAGCGUCAUAGAGGGUGAGAAUCCCGUCUUUGACACGGACUGCCAGGGCUUUGUGAUGCGCUCUCAAAGAGUCGAGUUGUUUGGGAAUGCAGCUCAAAAUGGGUGGUAAAUUCCAUCUAAAGCUAAAUAUUGGCGAGAGACCGAUAGCGAACAAGUACCGUGAGGGAAAGAUGAAAAGAACUUUGGAAAGAGAGUUAAACAGUACGUGAAAUUGCUGAAAGGGAAACGCUUGAAGUCAGUCGCGUUGUCCAGGAAUCAACCUUGCUUUUGCUUGGUGUACUUUCUGGUUAACGGGUCAGCAUCAAUUUUGACUGUUGGAAAAAGAUCAAGGGAAUGUGGCAUCUUUAGAUGUGUUAUAGCCCUUGGUUGCAUACAAUGGUUGGGAUUGAGGAACUCAGCACGCCGCAAGGCCGGGUAUUAACCACGUACGUGCUUAGGAUGCUGGCAUAAUGGCUUUAAUCGACCCGUCUU